This 375-nucleotide ribosomal RNA is filed under the name Triticum aestivum (bread wheat). RNAcentral's name for it is "partial small subunit ribosomal RNA". Lineage: Eukaryota; Viridiplantae; Streptophyta; Magnoliopsida; Poales; Poaceae. The record is from RNAcentral.
AUGUCUACGGUGACCCGCGCAUACCUCGACCAGAGGCUCGCCGUCGCCAAGCGCUGCUCCAGAGAGGCCGCGGCUGUCGCCACCGUUGCAGCAGCAGUCCCCACCGUAAGUGCACAUUGCUCAGCCGGCACGGCUAGUUGCAAGGACGAACAAUCUCACCAAGUUCUUCCUCCGUGCCUUUCUCUGCAGCUGGCGAGCGUGAGGAUGCUGCCGUGGGCCAAGGCACACAUCAACCCAACUGGGCAGGCGCUCAUCAUCUCCACCGUCGCCGGGAUGGCCUACUUCAUCGUUGCCGACAAGACCAUCCUCUCCAUGGCCAGGAGGCACUCCUUCGAGGAAGCGCCGGAGCACCUCAAGAACACCUCCUUCCACUAA